Molecule: ribosomal RNA, 1028 nt
Filed under: Violaceomyces palustris
Lineage: Eukaryota; Fungi; Basidiomycota; Ustilaginomycetes; Violaceomycetales; Violaceomycetaceae
Description: SSU rRNA
Rfam family: Eukaryotic small subunit ribosomal RNA
Source: RNAcentral
ACUUGUACUGUGAAACUGCGAAUGGCUCAUUAAAUCAGUUAUAGUUUAUUUGAUGGUAUCUUGCUACAUGGAUAACUGUGGUAAUUCUAGAGCUAAUACAUGCUUAAAAGCCCCGACUUCGGAAAGGGUGUAUUUAUUAGAUAAAAGCCAACCCUUCGGGUCCCUUGGUGAUUCAUAAUAACUUCUCGAAUCGCAUGGCCUUGCGCCGGCGAUGCUUCAUUCAAAUAUCUGCCCUAUCAACUGUCGAUGGUAGGAUAGAGGCCUACCAUGGUUGCAACGGGUAACGGGGAAUAAGGGUUCGAUUCCGGAGAGGGAGCCUGAGAAACGGCUACCACAUCCAAGGAAGGCAGCAGGCGCGCAAAUUACCCAAUCCCGACACGGGGAGGUAGUGACAAUAAAUAACAAUAUAGGGCUUUCAUAGGUCUUAUAAUUGGAAUGAGUACAAUUUAAAUCCCUUAACGAGGAACAAUUGGAGGGCAAGUCUGGUGCCAGCAGCCGCGGUAAUUCCAGCUCCAAUAGCGUAUAUUAAAGUUGUUGCAGUUAAAAAGCUCGUAGUUGAACUUCAGCCCUGGCCGGCCGGUCCGCCUCACGGCGUGUACUGUCCAGCCGGGGCUUCCCUCCUGGUGAUCCCGCGUGCUCUUUACUGGGCGCGUGGGGGAACCAGGAUCUUUACUUUGAAAAAAUUAGAGUGUUCAAAGCAGGCCUAUGCCCGAAUAUAUUAGCAUGGAAUAAUAAAAUAGGACGCGCGGUUCUAUUUUGUUGGUUUCUAGAGUCGCCGUAAUGAUUAAUAGGGAUAGUUGGGGGCAUUAGUAUUCGCAUGCUAGAGGUGAAAUUCUUGGAUUUUGCGAAGACUAACUUCUGCGAAAGCAUUUGCCAAGGAUGUUUUCAUUAAUCAAGAACGAAGGUUAGGGGAUCGAAAACGAUCAGAUACCGUUGUAGUCUUAACAGUAAACUAUGCCGACUAGGGAUUGGUGGAUGUUAUUUUAUUGACUCCAUCAGCACCUUACGAGAAAUCAAAGUCUUUGGGU